GUUUUUAUAGGUUGAUGCCCAGAAAUGUCCAGAACGAAAGAAGAAAAGAGAAAAUACAGGCAGAGGACAGGAUCUCGGUAGAAACAGACACCACCACACACUUCUAGUGGAUCAUAAGUGAUUAUUGAGAGGGAUUCUUUUUGUAUGACAUUGUUU
This is a long non-coding RNA of Sebastes umbrosus (honeycomb rockfish), 156 nucleotides long. RefSeq lists it as uncharacterized. NCBI's taxonomy places the organism in Eukaryota, Metazoa, Chordata, Actinopteri, Perciformes, Sebastidae. The transcript has 3 exons. The record is from RefSeq and is a predicted model, not a curated record.